This is a long non-coding RNA of Lytechinus pictus (painted urchin), 284 nucleotides long. RefSeq lists it as uncharacterized. Lineage: Eukaryota; Metazoa; Echinodermata; Echinoidea; Temnopleuroida; Toxopneustidae. The transcript is spliced from 3 exons. The record is from RefSeq and is a predicted model, not a curated record.
AGUUACCAAUCAGAUUACAACACAUUAUACCAAACCAGUAGAACAGAAUCCAGUUACCAUGGAAACAGAUGAUACUGAAUCAUUUUCUGUUGCUACAUCAGAUGGCGGAGAAGGUCAUGUGACCACAGCCCUAGGCAACACAUGGAGUCACAACGUUAACACUCGUCUUAUUCUCCAGUAUCUAGAUGAAGUACAUCGAGAGAUAUUGAUAGCCAAAUCCCCGCUUGCUCCAUUCGCUAAGGUAAUCUACACCAUCCAAGAUGCAGGCUUAGUUUCUACAGGUA